AUUGAACGCUGGCGGCAUGCUUUACACAUGCAAGUCGAACGGCAGCGCGGGCUUCGGCCUGGCGGCGAGUGGCGAACGGGUGAGUAAUGCAUCGGAACGUGCCCAGUAGUGGGGGAUAGCCCGGCGAAAGCCGGAUUAAUACCGCAUACGACCUGAGGGUGAAAGCGGGGGACCGAAAGGCCUCGCGCUAUUGGAGCGGCCGAUGUCGGAUUAGCUAGUUGGUGGGGUAAAGGCUUACCAAGGCGACGAUCCGUAGCUGGUCUGAGAGGACGACCAGCCACACUGGGACUGAGACACGGCCCAGACUCCUACGGGGGGCAGCAGUGGGGAAUUUUGGACAAUGGGGGCAACCCUGAUCCAGCCAUGCCGCGCGCGGGAAGAAGGCCUUCGGGUUGUAAACCGCUUUUGUUCGGGAAGAAAUCCUCUGGGCUAAUACCCCGGGGGGAUGACGGUACCGGAAGAAUAAGCACCGGCUAACUACGUG
This 484-nucleotide ribosomal RNA is filed under the name uncultured bacterium. RNAcentral describes it as "partial 16S ribosomal RNA". It matches the Rfam family "Bacterial small subunit ribosomal RNA", at positions 28 to 507 of the family's 1533-position model. The record is from RNAcentral.